RNAcentral lists this ribosomal RNA (484 nucleotides) under uncultured bacterium. RNAcentral describes it as "partial 16S ribosomal RNA". It matches the Rfam family "Bacterial small subunit ribosomal RNA", at positions 29 to 507 of the family's 1533-position model. The record is from RNAcentral.
AAUGAACGCUGGCGGCAGGCCUAACACAUGCAAGUCGAGCGGAUGAAGGGAGCUUGCUCCUGGAUUCAGCGGCGGACGGGUGAGUAAUGCCCAGGAAUCUGCCUUGUAGUGGGGGAUAACGUCCGGAAACGGGCGCUAAUACCGCAUACGUCCAGAGGUAGAAAGGGGGGGAUCUUCGGAGCUCACGCUUCCAGAUGAGCCUAGGUGGGAUUAGCUAGUUGGAGGGGUAAAUGCGUACCAAGGCGACGAUCCGUAACUGGUCUGAGAGGGUGAUCAGCCACACUGGAACUGAGACACGGUCCAGACUCCUACGGGAGGCAGCAGUGGGGAAUAUUGGGCAAUGGGCGAAAGCCUGAUCCAGCCAUGCCGCGUGUGUGAUGAAGGUCUUCGGAUUGUAAAGCUCUGUAAGUAGGGAGGAAGGGCAGUGAGUUUAUCCCUGGCUAUUUUGACGUUACCAACAGAAUAAGCACCGGCUAACUUCGUG